Benincasa hispida (wax gourd) is the source of this 1678-nucleotide non-coding RNA. NCBI's taxonomy places the organism in Eukaryota, Viridiplantae, Streptophyta, Magnoliopsida, Cucurbitales, Cucurbitaceae. The record is from RefSeq and is a predicted model, not a curated record.
AUUCCUUCCAAAUUCCAAAAUAUGUGAGUGUUAACUUGGUAUCAAAGCUAAAUGGCUAACGCCUUGUCUAUGGGAAGCUCCGUGGGUUCUGAAUCGGCAAAAUUCAACAAUCCACCGUUGAAUCAACUACUCAACCAAAUCAUAAGCACAAAGCUUGAAUAAGGAAAUUAUCUUCUGUGGAAAACACUUGCCCUACCCAUCCUUUAGAGUUACAAACUCGAAAGACAUCUCUUCGGCAUGUCCAACUCUCAGAUGGUGUCUGGUGAUGCAAUGAGCACCACCGUUGAACGAAGUCUAAAUCCACAAUAUGAAGCGUGGAUUAUAGUGGAUCAGUUGCUAUUGGAUUGGCUAUACAACUCAAUGACGCCAGAGGUUGCUGUUCAACUAAUGGGCUUUGAUAGUGCCAAAGACCUCUGAGAGGCCAUUCAAGAGUUGUUUGGCGUCCAGUCGAGAGCUAAAGAGGACUACAUACGACAAGUUUUUUAACAAAACUGAAAUGGUAAUACAAAAAUGAGUGAAUAUCUGCGACUAAUGAAAUCUCACUCUGAUAACUUGCACAAGCUGGAAGUCUGGUUACCACUAGGACACUGAUAUCCCAGGUUCUCCUUGGCCUAGAUGAGGAGUAAAACUCCAUUGUUGUGGGAAUACAAGGAAAACCAGAUAUAUCGUAGCUUGAUAUGCAAUCAGAACUUCUCUCGUGUGAAAAAUAUCUCGAGCAUCAGAACUUAGUGAAAUUGAACUCUUCCUUCAGUUAAAAUGUUGGGGUCAAUGUAGUAUUCAAUUGAAACCAAAUGGGGUCCAAACCACAUAACGCUUCUAGUCCUUAUCGAAAACACUUCGAUGGUCAGCGUGGUAAUGGCGGCAGUAGAAAAAGUACCCAAUUUCAAAAUAGUGAAAAUGGAGGAAAUUGCGGCCGAGGCAAAGAACGAAGGAACAAUAGAUCCAUAUGCCAAGUCUAUGGAAAAUAUGGGCAUACAUACAUGGUUUUCUAUCGCCGAUUUGAGAAAGAAUUUUCCCCUGCAUCUGGUCAAGGUUGAUGUAAUGGAGGACAAUCCAAUAAUAUGAAUACUAUUAAAUGCUGCCAGACAGGGAAAAUCCAUUCCUAGCCACUCCCAAAGUUGUUGGUGACCCAAGUUGGUAUGCUGACAGCGGCGCAAUAAACCAUAUGAUAGCACCAAAUAUAUAGGUAUAGAUCUCGUAACUAUAGAAAAUGGUGAGAAACUAAAAAUUUCAUAUAUGGGAAAUUUUUGCCUGUAUGAUGGGAAAAAUAGUUUUCGACUUCAAAAUGUCCUAUAUGUUCCUGAUAUAGCUAAAAAUUUUCUUAGUGUAUCCAAACUUGCACAAGAUAAUGCAAUUUAUAUUGAAUUCUAUAAUGAUCAUUGUCUUAUUAAAGACAAGGCUAUGGGUUGCACACUACCGAGAGAGGAGCUUAACGAUGGCCUAUACCGAUUGAAGGGAGUUGAGGUUAUUAGAGAUGGAUGAACUGAAGGCCAACAGUCAAUGAAUACAAAUAAGAGUUCUGCAACAUUUAUUUUAUUGGGCAUCUGAGUUAAUGUUGUAGAGUCUAGCACUAUUUGGCAUCAAAGGUUGGAUCACCCGUCGUCAAGAAUUUUUAAUUCAUUACUUAAAAGUUGUAAUGUUACUGCUAUAUCUAAUGAAGAGCUUUCGUUUUGUGAGU